GGAUUAGGCAUGCAAGUCGAACGGUAGGAUAUCUUUCGGGGUAUCUGAGAGUGGCGAACGGGUGAGUAACGCGUAGGUGAUCUACCUCCGGGCGGGGGACAACUCGAGGAAACUUGGGCUAAUACCGCAUGUGACCGCAAGGUUAAAGCCGGCCUCUGCGAGAGUAAGCUGGCGUCCGGAGAUGAGCCUGCGUCUUAUUAGUUAGUUGGUAGGGUAACGGCCUACCAAGGCGAUGAUAAGUAGGCGGCUUUAACGAGUGGUCGCCCACACUGGGAUUGAGAGACGGCCCAGACUCCUACGGGAGGCAGCAGUCGAGGAUAGUCUACAAUGGCCGAAAGGCUGAUAGUGCGACGCCGCGUGAACGAGGAAACAUUUCGGUGUGUAAAGUUCUUUUCCAUGGGAGCAGGACACAGGGGGUGAACAGUCACCGGUGUUGGAUCAUACUAUGGGAAUAAGCCACGGCUAACUCCGUGCCAGCAGCCGCGGUAAUACGGGGGUGGCGAGCGUUGUCCGGAAUUACUAGGCGUAAAGGGGCAGGUAGGCGGUCAUAUAAUUUAACCGUUAAAGACCUAUGCUCACCAUAAGGAGGGCGGUUGAUACGGUAUGGGUGGGAGCGAGGGGGGGAAAAACGGAAUUUCCCGGUGUACCGGGGGAAGGCCCAGAAAUUCGGGAGGACCACUUAGGGGGAAGGCGGUCUUCUAUGCUUUUCUUGACGCCAAACUGGCGAAGGGGCGGGUAUCAAACAGGAUUAGAUACCCUGGUAGUCCGCACAGUAAACGAUAAUCACUAGGUGUUGGCAGGAUAUACCUGUCAGUGCCGUAGCAAACGCGGUAAGUGAUUCGCCUGGGGAGUACGAUCGCAAGGUUGAAACUCAAAGGAAUUGACGGGGGCCCGCACAAGCGGUGGAGCAUGUGGUUUAAUUCGAUGCAACGCGAAGAACCUUACCCGGGCUUGACAUCCCAAGGAGUUUCCGGAGACGGGAAUGUGCCCUUCGGGGAACUUGGAGACAGGUGCUGCAUGGCUGUCGUCAGCUCGUGUCGUGAGAUGUUGGGUUAAGUCCCGCAACGAGCGCAACCCCUUUCUUCAGUUGCCAUCAUUAAGUUGGGAACUCUGGAGAGACCGCUGCAGUAACAAUGCAGAGGAAGGCGGGGACGACGUCAAGUCAUCAUGGUCCUUAUGUCCGGGGCGACACACGUGCUACAAUGGCAGUUACAGAGGGAAGCUAAGGGGUGACCUGGAGCGAAUCUCAGAACAGCUGCCGCAGUUCGGAUUGGGGUCUGCAACUCGGCCCCAUGAAGCCGGAAUCGCUAGUAAUCGCGUAACAGCAUGACGCGGUGAGUACGUUCCCGGGCCUUGUAGACACCGCCCG
RNAcentral lists this ribosomal RNA (1369 nucleotides) under uncultured bacterium. RNAcentral's name for it is "bacterial SSU rRNA". It matches the Rfam family "Bacterial small subunit ribosomal RNA", at positions 46 to 1396 of the family's 1533-position model. The record is from RNAcentral.